UACGUAGGUGGCAAGCGUUGUCCGGAAUUAUUGGGCGUAAAGCGCGCGCAGGCGGCCUUUUAAGUCUGAUGUGAAAUCUUGCGGCUCAACCGCAAGCGGGCAUUGGAAACUGGGAGGCUUGAGUACAGAAGAGGAGAGUGGAAUUCCACGUGUAGCGGUGAAAUGCGUAGAUAUGUGGAGGAACACCAGUGGCGAAGGCGACUCUCUGGUCUGUAACUGACGCUGAGGCGCGAAAGCGUGGGGAGCAAACAGG
This 253-nucleotide ribosomal RNA is filed under the name uncultured bacterium. RNAcentral's name for it is "partial 16S ribosomal RNA". It matches the Rfam family "Bacterial small subunit ribosomal RNA", at positions 524 to 776 of the family's 1533-position model. The record is from RNAcentral.